This 338-nucleotide long non-coding RNA is filed under the name Mytilus galloprovincialis (Mediterranean mussel). Lineage: Eukaryota; Metazoa; Mollusca; Bivalvia; Mytilida; Mytilidae. The record is from RNAcentral.
CGUUCUUAUGUUGUACUGUUAUACCACUGUCCCAGGUUAGGGGAGGGUUAGGAUCCCGCUAACAUGUUUAACCCCGCCACAUUAUUUAUGUAUGUGCCUGUCCCAAGUCAGGAGCCUGUAAUUCAGUGGUUGUCGUUUGUUUAUGUGUUACAUAUUUGUUUUUCGUUCAUUUUUUUUUUACAUAAAUAAGGCCGUUAGUUUUCUCGUUUGAAUUGUUUUACAUUGUCUUAUAGGGGCCUUUUAUAGCUCACUAUGCGGUAUGGGCUUUGCUCAUUGUUGAAGGCCGUACGGUGACCUAUAAGUGUUAAUGUCUGUGUUAUUUUGGUCUUUUGUGGAUA